RNAcentral lists this ribosomal RNA (243 nucleotides) under uncultured bacterium. RNAcentral describes it as "partial 16S ribosomal RNA". It matches the Rfam family "Bacterial small subunit ribosomal RNA", at positions 524 to 764 of the family's 1533-position model. The record is from RNAcentral.
UACGGGGGGGGGCAAGCGUUGUUCGGAAUUACUGGGCGUAAAGGGCUCGUAGGCGGCCAACUAAGUCAGACGUGAAAUCCCUCGGCUUAACCGGGGAACUGCGUCUGAUACUGGAUGGCUUGAAUCCGGGAGAGGGAUGCGGAAUUCCAGGUGUAGCGGUUGAAAUGCGUAGAUAUCGGGAGGAACACCUGUGGCGAAGGCGGCCCCCUGGUUGGAUACUGACGCUGAUACGCGAAAGCGUGG